UCGUUAAUGUUGUUCGACGAAACUCAGACUGACAGUUUGGAUCAGGAAAUCAGUUUCAUUUGGAAAUAAUGCUGCCCCUGCUUGCCCUCAGACUGCUUUGUGCACUUGUGAAUCUUCUGCUCACAGACUUCUGCACUCUCUUGGAUUUUGCUGAAAUGACCCUAUCAAAAUUCACCAACCAAUGGAAUGCAAGGAAGAUGGGGAGGAAAUGCCUUUUGACCUGUCUCCUGCCAGUGAGCUCGACUACAACACCAAGGAGAACGUCUGCGAGGACGAUGUCCACGCGCCUGAUCAAUACGAGGAGGAUCGAGAUGGUGGUGAUAAGCAUGAAGCGUCUUUAAAGGAGAUACGCAGAACCUUUAUUUUUAAAUAAAUUUCUGAGUGGAUAGUAUCUCCAUCCUUGACUCUUGUAUGCUGCAUAAAUGGGAAUUUAAAAAAUAUAUAUU
Neoarius graeffei (lesser salmon catfish) is the source of this 446-nucleotide long non-coding RNA. RefSeq lists it as uncharacterized. NCBI's taxonomy places the organism in Eukaryota, Metazoa, Chordata, Actinopteri, Siluriformes, Ariidae. The record is from RefSeq and is a predicted model, not a curated record. The transcript has 3 exons.